Molecule: transfer RNA, 84 nt
Filed under: Chitinophagaceae bacterium
Lineage: Bacteria; Pseudomonadati; Bacteroidota; Chitinophagia; Chitinophagales; Chitinophagaceae
Also listed under: 7 other names
Description: tRNA-Leu
Rfam family: tRNA
About the family: Transfer RNA (tRNA) molecules are approximately 80 nucleotides in length. Their secondary structure includes four short double-helical elements and three loops (D, anti-codon, and T loops).
Source: RNAcentral
GCCCAGAUGGCGGAACUGGUAGACGCGUCAGACUCAAAAUCUGGUAUUCGCAAGGAUGUGCAGGUUCGAUUCCUGUUCUGGGCA